GUCAAUUUUGGGAGCUCUUCGCCCUUUGACUUCUCCAUAUUCAUUGAAUGGAGGAAUAUGUUGAUCCUGAGGCAAACAGAUAGACCUGUAUCCACAGAAAAAUUGUUAGUUUAAGAAAUGAACUGAUCUGUGUCGAUCUCUUCAGUUGUCGGCUCCUUAUCUUGCUAUCUCCGGUUGAUUUCUCCGAUCCCCCGCUUCUUGAUAGAUA
This 208-nucleotide long non-coding RNA is filed under the name Solanum tuberosum (potato). Its description in RNAcentral is "long non-coding RNA (STUB_LNC005947)". Lineage: Eukaryota; Viridiplantae; Streptophyta; Magnoliopsida; Solanales; Solanaceae. The record is from RNAcentral.